This 2822-nucleotide ribosomal RNA is filed under the name Salmonella enterica subsp. enterica serovar Enteritidis. Its description in RNAcentral is "bacterial LSU rRNA". It matches the Rfam family "Bacterial large subunit ribosomal RNA". The record is from RNAcentral. Lineage: Bacteria; Pseudomonadati; Pseudomonadota; Gammaproteobacteria; Enterobacterales; Enterobacteriaceae.
GGGUUGUGAGGUUAAGCGACUAAGCGUACACGGUGGAUGCCCUGGCAGUCAGAGGCGAUGAAGGGCGUGCUAAUCUGCGAUAAGCGCCGGUAAGGUGAUAUGAACCGUUAUAACCGGCGAUACCCGAAUGGGGAAACCCAGUGUGAUUCGUCACACUAUCAUUAACUGAAUCCAUAGGUUAAUGAGGCGAACCGGGGGAACUGAAACAUCUAAGUACCCCGAGGAAAAGAAAUCAACCGAGAUUCCCCCAGUAGCGGCGAGCGAACGGGGAGGAGCCCAGAGCCUGAAUCAGCAUGUGUGUUAGUGGAAGCGUCUGGAAAGGCGCGCGAUACAGGGUGACAGCCCCGUACACAAAAGCGCAUGUGCUGUGAGCUCGAUGAGUAGGGCGGGACACGUGGUAUCCUGUCUGAAUAUGGGGGGACCAUCCUCCAAGGCUAAAUACUCCUGACUGACCGAUAGUGAACCAGUACCGUGAGGGAAAGGCGAAAAGAACCCCGGCGAGGGGAGUGAAAAAGAACCUGAAACCGUGUACGUACAAGCAGUGGGAGCNNGGGCGUUAAGUUGCAGGGUAUAGACCCGAAACCCGGUGAUCUAGCCAUGGGCAGGUUGAAGGUUGGGUAACACUAACUGGAGGACCGAACCGACUAAUGUUGAAAAAUUAGCGGAUGACCUGUGGCUGGGGGUGAAAGGCCAAUCAAACCGGGAGAUAGCUGGUUCUCCCCGAAAGCUAUUUAGGUAGCGCCUCGUGAAUUCAUCUCCGGGGGUAGAGCACUGUUUCGGCUAGGGGGCCAUCCCGGCUUACCAACCCGAUGCAAACUGCGAAUACCGGAGAAUGUUAUCACGGGAGACACACGGCGGGUGCUAACGUCCGUCGUGAAGAGGGAAACAACCCAGACCGCCAGCUAAGGUCCCAAAGUCAUGGUUAAGUGGGAAACGAUGUGGGAAGGCCCAGACAGCCAGGAUGUUGGCUUAGAAGCAGCCAUCAUUUAAAGAAAGCGUAAUAGCUCACUGGUCGAGUCGGCCUGCGCGGAAGAUGUAACGGGGCUAAACCAUGCACCGAAGCUGCGGCAGCGACACUGUGUGUUGUUGGGUAGGGGAGCGUUCUGUAAGCCUGUGAAGGUGUGUCGUGAGGCAUGCUGGAGGUAUCAGAAGUGCGAAUGCUGACAUAAGUAACGAUAAAGCGGGUGAAAAGCCCGCUCGCCGGAAGACCAAGGGUUCCUGUCCAACGUUAAUCGGGGCAGGGUGAGUCGACCCCUAAGGCGAGGCCGAAAGGCGUAGUCGAUGGGAAACGGGUUAAUAUUCCCGUACUUGGUGUUACUGCGAAGGGGGGACGGAGAAGGCUAUGUUGGCCGGGCGACGGUUGUCCCGGUUUAAGCGUGUAGGUGUGUGUUCCAGGUAAAUCCGGUUCACUUUAACACUGAGGCGUGACGACGAGGCACUACGGUGCUGAAGCAACAAAUGCCCUGCUUCCAGGAAAAGCCUCUAAGCAUCAGGUAACAUCAAAUCGUACCCCAAACCGACACAGGUGGUCAGGUAGAGAAUACCAAGGCGCUUGAGAGAACUCGGGUGAAGGAACUAGGCAAAAUGGUGCCGUAACUUCGGGAGAAGGCACGCUGACACGUAGGUGAAGUGAUUUACUCAUGGAGCUGAAGUCAGUCGAAGAUACCAGCUGGCUGCAACUGUUUAUUAAAAACACAGCACUGUGCAAACACGAAAGUGGACGUAUACGGUGUGACGCCUGCCCGGUGCCGGAAGGUUAAUUGAUGGGGUCAGCGCAAGCGAAGCUCCUGAUCGAAGCCCCGGUAAACGGCGGCCGUAACUAUAACGGUCCUAAGGUAGCGAAAUUCCUUGUCGGGUAAGUUCCGACCUGCACGAAUGGCGUAAUGAUGGCCAGGCUGUCUCCACCCGAGACUCAGUGAAAUUGAACUCGCUGUGAAGAUGCAGUGUACCCGCGGCAAGACGGAAAGACCCCGUGAACCUUUACUAUAGCUUGACACUGAACAUUGAGCCUUGAUGUGUAGGAUAGGUGGGAGGCUUUGAAGUGUGGACGCCAGUCUGCAUGGAGCCGACCUUGAAAUACCACCCUUUAAUGUUUGAUGUUCUAACGUGGACCCGUUACCCGGGUUGCGGACAGUGUCUGGUGGGUAGUUUGACUGGGGCGGUCUCCUCCUAAAGAGUAACGGAGGAGCACGAAGGUUGGCUAAUCCUGGUCGGACAUCAGGAGGUUAGUGCAAUGGCAUAAGCCAGCUUGACUGCGAGCGUGACGGCGCGAGCAGGUGCGAAAGCAGGUCAUAGUGAUCCGGUGGUUCUGAAUGGAAGGGCCAUCGCUCAACGGAUAAAAGGUACUCCGGGGAUAACAGGCUGAUACCGCCCAAGAGUUCAUAUCGACGGCGGUGUUUGGCACCUCGAUGUCGGCUCAUCACAUCCUGGGGCUGAAGUAGGUCCCAAGGGUAUGGCUGUUCGCCAUUUAAAGUGGUACGCGAGCUGGGUUUAGAACGUCGUGAGACAGUUCGGUCCCUAUCUGCCGUGGGCGCUGGAGAACUGAGGGGGGCUGCUCCUAGUACGAGAGGACCGGAGUGGACGCAUCACUGGUGUUCGGGUUGUCAUGCCAAUGGCACUGCCCGGUAGCUAAAUGCGGAAGAGAUAAGUGCUGAAAGCAUCUAAGCACGAAACUUGCCCCGAGAUGAGUUCUCCCUGAGACUUAGAGUCUCCUGAAGGAACGUUGAAGACGACGACGUUGAUAGGCCGGGUGUGUAAGCGCAGCGAUGCGUUGAGCUAACCGGUACUAAUGAACCGUGAGGCUUAACCUUACAACGCCGAAG